This 401-nucleotide ribosomal RNA is filed under the name uncultured bacterium. RNAcentral's name for it is "bacterial SSU rRNA". It matches the Rfam family "Bacterial small subunit ribosomal RNA", at positions 30 to 435 of the family's 1533-position model. The record is from RNAcentral.
AUUGAACGCUGGCGGCAUGCCUUACACAUGCAAGUCGAACGGUAACGGGCCUUCGGGUGCCGACGAGUGGCGAACGGGUGAGUAAUGCAUCGGAACGUACCUUUCAGUGGGGGAUAACGUAGCGAAAGUUACGCUAAUACCGCAUAUUCUGUGAGCAGGAAAGCAGGGGAUCGCAAGACCUUGCGCUGAUUGAGCGGCCGAUGUCAGAUUAGCUAGUUGGUGAGGUAAAGGCUCACCAAGGCGACGAUCUGUAGCGGGUCUGAGAGGAUGAUCCGCCACACUGGAACUGAGACACGGUCCAGACUCCUACGGGAGGCAGCAGUGGGGAAUUUUGGGACAAUGGGGGCAACCCUGAUCCAGCCAUGCCGCGUGAGUGAAGAAGGCCUCGGUUGUAAGCUCUU